CCGUGCACGAGGACAACGGUCUGUGCACCAGGACAACACUCCAUGCACGAGGACAACGGUCCGUGCACCAGCACAACACUCCGUGCAUGAGGACAACGGUCCGUGCACCAGCACAACACUCCAUGCACCAGGACAACGGUCCGUGCACCAGGACAACGGUUCCAGUGACAUCACAACAGCAGCUGCUCUAGCUUUGCUUGCAGAUGUAUGCAGAGCCCCUGAAUGUUCUCUACAGCUAAUGCCAAAAAAAUGCUGGAAAAUUCUCUUCUGUCACUGGAAGCCUGUCCCACUGCCCUGGAAUGCCCUGCACAGGGAAAGCCCAAGACUGUGGGUUUAGAAGAGCCAAAAACCGCAGCCUCACAGAUCUGCCCCAAGAUCCCACACUAGCUGUAGGAUGACUUGCAGACAUUUCAUCCCCAUGAAAAUCAGGUGCAAUUGGUCUCUAUCAAAAUCUAGAGCUAAAAGCAGGACCCAACAUGAAAAAGAAAAGAAAGGAAUGUCAAUGGAAGGAAAGAAAGGGCACAAAACUCCUCUGGAAAUGAGCUCUACCCUUCCAUGGAAUAAGGAUUUGAGGCUUAGCUUGUUUCCCUGGUGAUUUAGUGCAGACAUCAAGGGACUGUCCUCUGGUGGUGGACAACAGAGUGUCCUUUAGAAGCUUUAUCCUGGGCUUGUAGUGCUUAGUAAGGCAAACACAUUUGGUGCAAUGAUCACUGGUGUGUGAUUCAAAGGCACACCCCGAUACAAUUGAUUCCCAGCUUCCCAGGGAACACUGUGUGGUAACAAAUCUGCCUUUCAGCUCUCCAACUCCUUACACUGGGGUGUACCACAGCUGCUGAGGAGGUCUCUUUGUUGAGCUCCUGUAGCUCUGCAGGUUCUCUGCUGUAAAUAUUACAGAACGCAGGGACUCGGAAAACAAGCUGAGAGUGCCCAAGGCUUAGAGGAAAUCUUGGGCUCCACCUUACAGUGUGCUGCUGCAGUGCUCUGACAGCUCAAAGAAGCCUUUUGGUCCUAUGUCACACCCCUGGGAGCUUCCCUGUGCACAUCUGUGAGGCACAGAGGUCAGGCCAUAAUGGGUGUAAAGAAAGACAGACCGAAAGAAAAGCAAGUUCCAAGAGAAGGUGGGAGAACUUAGAAGGUGGGAGGAGGAGGAAACCAAUGGGCCAAAAUGGGCAAGUCCCUUCAAAAAAGAGAGUUAUGAGGCAGAGACCAAACAGAUCAGAUGUGGACAGGCCACAGGAAGGCAGGCUUAGGAAAACAAAAAGAACAUAAGUGUUCCAAAAUUCAGAAGCAUCAUUCCACCCUCAUCCUCCUCUCACUUUUAAACCAGUCAAGGCCUGACUGCAAAGAACAAGACCUGUGAGAUGUAACUUGCUGCUUCCGUUUUCUUUCUUUAGGGAAUCUCUUUUCUGUUUCAAGCCCCUGAAAGUCCUGAAGAGGAGAGAGGAGGCGACAGGCAAACAAUGCUCAUGUUAUCAGUUCACACACUUUAACCUGGUGCUGCCAAGCCCACCAUAUCCCCAAGUGCCUCAUGUACAUGUCUUUUAAAUGCCUCCAGUGAAGGUGACCCUACCAGUGCCCUGUCCAGCCUGUUCUUGAAACUCAAUCAAAAUAAAUUAAAAAGAAAAAGUUUACUCGCAGGGAGUGUGCCACUUUCUACUCUUACAGCAGACUGUAGAAUCAUCCUCACCACCGACAAGUGUACCCAGUCAGGACUUCCAGCUGGAAUGAAAAAGCCCCAGAACUCUCAAACUUCAAAGCCCAGAGUUCUGCUGCUCCCAAUCCUUCCUUCUCUGAGAAUCCCAAAUGAUGAUUUCAUGAUGGCUGAGCCCGAUGGCCUCCAACCAUCACAGCACCCACCAGUCCUUCUCUGUUCACAAACAACGGGUCCAGUGGGUGCCUUCCCUCAUUCUGCCUUUGUGCUUUGAAAAGUUCUCACGUAUUUGUUGGCUCCAGUCUUUCUUGGAGCACUGCCUGGGGUGGCUUCAUUCCCUUCCCCAUGUGAAACAGACCAUAAAUUGCUCAGACUGUUCCUCCAUCUUUUGUGGAAGAAUAAAAGUUGGCAUAUGUUUCCAUCAGUGGAGUGCCUGAUGGAAAAAGAAGGGGAAAAAAGAUUAAGAAGUUCAAAUGCUCAAGAAAUGAAGAAGAGAGAAAAAGCUGAAGUAAAGAGAAAAAAGGAAGUAGCAGAAACUGGAUCGGAGAGGAUUGGAUUUAGAGACAAUAAGGUCCAAACCUUGUGAUCUUAUGUGCAAAUCGCACCACAGGAACAUUGCAAAACCAGGGCCCAGACUUUGGUCCCCACAGACCUUAAGCCACCUCUGGUCUGAGGUGCAAUACUGGAAACGUAUUGAGAUGGAAAUAAGUACUGUUUUUCUUCACAAAACUGUCCUAAAUCUGUCCAGAGAGAACAAAUCUUGUGUCUCUGUGAUCAGAUGUAAGCUCCACAACCAAAACCACAAAAGAACCCGUCCAUUUAUUUUUAAGAAUACACCUGAAUUCAGCAAGGAAAUCUGGAAAUCACAAACAAUAUCUCUGAAGCUUUACAGAUUUGUUAAUUUAAAAUAAAAAUGGGGUCAAGUUGCAUGUAGCACUUCAAAUGACACAGGCAGGAUUUCAGCACCUCAGGGCCAUGUCUCUGCUUCUGGAAGCAAAAGAUCUUCUAUUUCUCACAGGUGAGCAAAGCGAUUUUUCCUGGAGAGUGCAAGUGUUGCUAGCGAAGCGAUAGACUGCUGUGUAAGGUGUGAUGUUGGUCUUUCACCUUCUUCCCCAAGAGUUGCAUCACAAAGCAUACAAAAAGAGACUGAAGGCUCCAACUUCACAGCACAGCUUCAGAUCUCUUAGCACAGCAAGUCUUCCGCCCAAGCAGGUGCAUUUUACAACAUCAGCAUCAACAGAACAGCAGUUACACCACUCCAGUCUCCCUGCAAUGC
This is a long non-coding RNA of Pseudopipra pipra, 2927 nucleotides long. RefSeq lists it as uncharacterized. The transcript has 3 exons. Lineage: Eukaryota; Metazoa; Chordata; Aves; Passeriformes; Pipridae. The record is from RefSeq and is a predicted model, not a curated record.